GCUGAAGUACAUUUAUGGGCUAAGGUGUAGUUUAGUUUAACAGAACAAUCACUUCAUAAAUAGGCUUUUAACAUUUUUAUUUUGUGUAAAAAAGGCAAAUUUAGUGAAUUAUUUUCAUCUUGUACACAAAGUUAUAAUUUUAAUGCUUUUCACAUCCAUGCUGAAAAUCUGCAGUCUCGUAAAAAUGAAAGUAACAUUAAUUUCUCCAAAAGCAUUUUUUCACUUAGUUAUGUACAUUGCAUGAGAAAGUUUUAAAUACUUUCUCUCAUUGACCACACAAAUUACCAAGAAAAUAAAAGAUUAAAUUUGUACAGAUAUUGAUCUAUAUAUCAAAUACAUACAGAAAUGAUGUAAAAACCCUAUUUGUUUUAUCUUGAUUCGCGCCCCAGCAUAUCUCCCAGGGGCCAAAGGGGAGGCCUUUUUGUAUAAACGGCUGUGGCUUUUCUUAAAUAUGAAAAUUAAAAGGAAGAAAAAUUCAGUUUAAAUCACAGUUUUUAAAAUCCCUUCCCAAUAAAGGAUUGUUACCAAAUAUAUUAGCACCAUUGUACAAAUAUUGACGGGAGAGGGUAUUCACAUCACAUAAAACAACAAUAAUAAAAACAAACAAACACUGAAACCCGUGUUAGUAUCCGUAGAACAAGAAAUUGAUAACUGCUUUAGCUUUCCUCAGAUGCAGCAAGGAAAAGGUUAAAGAGUUGUAUUUAAAAUAACAUAAAAAUCAAAAAUCAGAUUUUGAGCAAUAAAAGAGGGUAGCUGCAAAGUAAGAUGUGACUUGCAGUACCCCAUAGUUGUAAAAACCUGCUAUGCCAAAUACUGAAAUUAAUUUGAUCCCCAUUAAAGAUUUCAGACGUCCAACACCUUGCUCUUCUUUUAGCCAAGUAACACAGCUUAGAGUGUAAAUAAACAUGUGUAGAACCAUGUUACUAAUUAAAGCUU
Tinamus guttatus (white-throated tinamou) is the source of this 936-nucleotide non-coding RNA. The record is from RefSeq and is a predicted model, not a curated record. Lineage: Eukaryota; Metazoa; Chordata; Aves; Tinamiformes; Tinamidae.